Molecule: long non-coding RNA, 306 nt
Organism: Girardinichthys multiradiatus
Lineage: Eukaryota; Metazoa; Chordata; Actinopteri; Cyprinodontiformes; Goodeidae
Exons: 2
Source: RefSeq, a predicted model, not a curated record
UUUUGGCCAGCUCUGAAGACUUUGCAUGAUUUUUACUAUGAAGAAAUUUUGAAGGAUUAUUCUGUAUGAACUCUAACUUCCCCUGUUACCUGUUCCAGGUGCGAUUUCUGCCUGACCUGUUCCAGUCCUCUGUAGUGACUCUGGUUACUUCCUGGAUUUUGACUGUACCUGGCAAGCGGGGCUUCUUUCCUGACACUAAUUCUCUCCCUGGCGGUUUUCCCGGAUUCUCCAUGAUGAAAGAUUAGACUCGCCGCUUCUGUUGUGCCUGACCAAGCUUUGCAAUAAACUUUCUUAUUUAACAAGUUC